AGGUCGAGUAGACCAAGGCGCUUGAGAGAACUCUGCUGAAGGAACUAGGCAAAAUGGUACCGUAACUUCGGGAGAAGGUACGCUGUUGUUGGUGAUGGAACUCGCUUCCUGAGCUGACGACAGCCGCAGAAACCAGGCCGCUGCAACUGUUUAUUAAAAACAUAGCACUCUGCAAACACGAAAGUGGACGUAUAGGGUGUGAUGCCUGCCCGGUGCUGGAAGGUUAAUUGAUGGGGUUAGCGUAAGCGAAGCUCUUGAUCGAAGCCCCAGUAAACGGCGGCCGUAACUAUAACGGUCCUAAGGUAGCGAAAUUCCUUGUCGGGUAAGUUCCGACCUGCACGAAUGGCAUAAUGAUGGCGGCGCUGUCUCCAGCAGAGGCUCAGUGAAAUCGAAAUCGCUGUGAAGAUGCAGUGUACCCGCGGCUAGACGGAAAGACCCCGUGAACCUUUACUGCAGCUUGACACUGAACUUUGACCUUACUUGUGUAGGAUAGGUGGGAGGCUUUGAAGCUGGAACGCUAGUUCCAGUGGAGCCGUCCUUGAAAUACCACCCUGGUAAUGUUGAGGUUCUAACUCUGUCCCGUGAUCCGGGACGAGGACCGUGUCUGGUGGGUAGUUUGACUGGGGCGGUCUCCUCCUAAAGAGUAACGGAGGAGUACGAAGGUGCGCUCAGCGUGGUCGGAAAUCACGCGUAGAGUAUAAAGGCAAAAGCGCGCUUAACUGCGAGACCCACAAGUCGAGCAGGUACGAAAGUAGGUCUUAGUGAUCCGGUGGUUCUGUAUGGAAGGGCCAUCGCUCAACGGAUAAAAGGUACUCUGGGGAUAACAGGCUGAUACCGCCCAAGAGUUCAUAUCGACGGCGGUGUUUGGCACCUCGAUGUCGGCUCAUCUCAUCCUGGGGCUGAAGCAGGUCCCAAGGGUAUGGCUGUUCGCCAUUUAAAGAGGUACGCGAGCUGGGUUUAGAACGUCGUGAGACAGUUCGGUCCCUAUCUACCGUGGGCGCUGGAAAUUUGAGAGGAUCUGCUCCUAGUACGAGAGGACCAGAGUGGACGAACCUCUGGUGUACCGGUUGUGACGCCAGUCGCAUCGCCGGGUAGCUAUGUUCGGAAGGGAUAACCGCUGAAAGCAUCUAAGCGGGAAGCCUACCUCAAGAUAAGAUUUCCCUAGGACUUUAUGUCCUCUAAAGAGCCGUUCGAGACUAGGACGUUGAUAGGUUGGAUGUGGAAGCAUAGUGAUAUGUGAAGCUGACCAAUACUAAUUGCUCGUGAGGCUUGACUAU
Molecule: ribosomal RNA, 1277 nt
Filed under: Acinetobacter baumannii
Lineage: Bacteria; Pseudomonadati; Pseudomonadota; Gammaproteobacteria; Moraxellales; Moraxellaceae
Also listed under: 1 other name
Description: partial 23S ribosomal RNA
Rfam family: Bacterial large subunit ribosomal RNA
Source: RNAcentral